UUUUUGAUCGAGUUUGCGAGUGUACAAUUAUGUUCACUCCGGGGCCUGAAAAGCCCCAUAAUUCAAUUUGCGAUUAUUGUACAUCCGCUAAGUCAGGCAAAAUGUAAAACAAUCAUUACUAUGGAGAAGUCAGCAUGCAAGUAUCUACUUGGUGGGGACGAUCAGUGAUGGUCCUGUACUAUGAAUCAUUUUCACCUGUGGAGUUUCAUGACCUGCCCCCCGAGGUGAAGCAGUGGGAUGGACCGAGACAUCGAUAAUUAGGGUCAUUAGCCAGGGCUGGGAAGCUUCCCACUGGACACAGAUGUCAGUUCAUCAUCUAGUUUUGAUUUACAUUUGAUUGAGUUGUCAGCUAACAUGAAUUCAACAUGAAAUUAACAAAAAAUGUCACAAGGUCAUUGGAUUUAGGUUAAAAGUUGAGAGAAAAAAAUACUAAAUUCCAUUUACGUUGAUGACUUUUUUUCAAAUUCAAUCAGUUUUCCAUGUUGAUUCAACGUCGUCAUAUAAAAUGUUGGGGUUGAAAUGACAUGGAAACAAUAUUGAUUCAACCAGUUUUUGCCCAGUGGGUUGUGGUUUGACUGUCAACAAUAAGUGUCAUCACAAACAGGUUUGUCGAGGACCUAUUGUGAAAAAGGCUUUCUCUGGCAGGUGUAGAUUUAAUUAUGUUCCCACUAGAAACGAGGCAAGCCUGCUAACUGACUUAACGUGUACAUCCCGUCAUGCCAAUACAGAAUAGGAGAAAUCCUGUCGCUUCUCUUAUUUUUCACAUUUAUAAAACUGAGCUCAUUUAGGCCCCUUCAGUUGAUUAUUCUGUCUGUAAAUUAUUGUAAUAUGGUGCAAAAAUAUCUACUUAAUAUGAAGCCUAUAUACUGGAGAUGAUAAAGCAAUGCCACGAAUGGAGAAAAGUCAAGUCAUGUGAAUAUGCCCAACAGCGCCCCUACACUCCUGGGAAGUAUCCUACAUGGUGUUUUGGUUUGUUUACAUCUAGGUAUAUCAAGUGCGCACUGUCAUGCAAUCACAACACCACAUAUGUCAGUAUGGCCUUCAUUCACAUAACAGUCAUAAGAUUCAUAUUAAUAUAAGUAAGUAGCACGCAUAGUCCUUUUAUAAACGCGAACUUAUUAUAAACAUGACUAUAGUCUACAGUAACUUCAUUUAAUCAGUAACAACUUGUUUGUAAACAACUACUUUUUUUGUUAUUUUUCUGUCUCGUUUUUAUUAUUGGGCUCUGUUGUGUUUGAUGUUUUAUACCGCCAUGAGGAAAUAAGUAGUGACCAUGCCAAUAUUAAGUGCAAGUGCGUAACAUCCUCCUCGCUCCUAUUUACGCACAUCCAUCUCUUGCGCAGCAUCCUAUUCCCAAUCCCCGCUUCACGCUCCAUCUCGUCGCCAACAGUUUUAGCCUGCCUAACAUUCCUCUAUCCAAAACAAAUAGCAUGAAGCCGAUUACUUAAUAUAGGCUAUGUUUCUGAGGGUUUCCAGUAUCUGCGGCGUAGGCUACAAUUCCCACCGGAUUCCAUUGCAUUUGUCACAAUAGCACUCGCUCUGACGCAGACAAAUGUAACUAUUUACCUGUCGCUCAUAAUUGAGAAUGGUAAUUGUAUUCGAUUAGUUUACUACCUCCACUAUAUGUAUCGUUUACUAAAUUGGCAUUUUCAUAUUUAUUUGAAAGUGAAGAGCAUUUUAAGAGGACCAUAUCCACAAUCACUAUAUUAUAGGCUAUAUCAGAUUUGUUUAUAGAUGUUUGUGAUAACACAUUGUAUUAGUUAAAUGUGUCGUUACAACAUCGUUUGCAUUAGGCUACUGAAAUUGGCAACACGUUUCUGUAAUUCCUAGAAUAAAAUUAUGAUUUAGCCUGAUAGCUUACCUCAACGUAUGUCUUCUUUCCUCCCUUGGCGACCCUUUCGGUUAGAUCAUGUUUUCAAUAACUGGAUAGCACCUGUUUCCAUGAAGCACCCCUCACAUUAUUACAGUAUCCCCAUCGAUUUUUCCAUAGCGCAACACGAGAAGCCCGCCCCUGACACUCCCCCUUCUGCUGGUUGGCCAGGCCUUGGUGAAUUAUUUUGCCUACGUCGGAAUCACAUGUGGUUGACGCAUGUUUACAAACAUUGGAUGAGAUCACAUGGUGAUGGGACCCAGUUUACAGUAAACCAUUCGACAUUAAGCAUAAAUUAGUGCUCGUCUGCUUGUAGGCCUAAAAACCGAAAUGAGUUACCUCUGGUUCUUUCGGACAUUCCUAUGGGGAAAGUUGAUGGCGUUUUGGGAUAAACACCGAAAAUAAAGUAUAAGGGUAACAAAGGCUUAGGAGAUCUUAUACGUUUUGUUCUAUGAAAUAAUAUCAGUCAGUCAACAUUACCUGUAUGAAUUAUUAAGCCUUUAUGUGCUUGUUUUGAUUAAACAAAUGCUUCAAAAAGUUAGCUGAUUUAAGAUUAUCUCAUAGAACUAAAAACGUCUAAGAUCUCCUAAGCAUGUGUUUACAAUAGACCGUAUUUUCGGUGUUCAUCAAAAAACCGUCAGAAACCUCAUUAAUUGACCAACUAGCCAUGCAGGACUUAGUGCCUACAAAAAUACUGCAUUACUAUAGCUCGCCAGACUGUAGUCCUAAAAAAACGGAAAUGAAACCUCUGGUUCGUUCCGCCAUUACUAAGGCAUUGUGAAUGCAGAAAAUAAGGUAUGAGGUUAAGAGAUCUUAUACAUUUUGUUCUAUAUUAUUAUUAUUAUUAUUAUUAUUAUUAUUAUAACAGUCAGUUAAAACAUGACCUGUAUGAAUUUUGAAGCCAUUAUGUGCUUAUUUUGAUUACGUAAAUGCUUCAAAAUUCACAAAAAGUGAUGUUAGCCGAUGAAUAUUAUCUCAGAGAACAAAACGUAUAGGUCUACAAAGCCUGUGUUUACAACAGACCUUCUUUUCCGGAUUCAUCCAAAAACCCUACAAAAUCCCAUUAAUUUCCGUUAGUGCCUACAAAAAGACGGCAUUACUAUUGCUCUCUAUACUAGUAGUUGUAAAGUAUUAUAUAAUCCCUUCGGCCUCAAAAUAAACAUUCACAUGGCUAUACUAUUGCCUUUAACAUGUUUAUAAUAGGUCUAUGGGAUUCUAUAAGCUUAUAGUAGGAUGGUAUAAGGUACAAAAGCAUUUUUCAGAUAUUAAAAUGUAUUACAUAAGUAUUACACAAUGUCUAAUGUUCUUGGAGAAAGUGGUACUUGAUGUUCUGUUCCCUCCUGUUUUGGUAUGCGGCAGCGGGAGAAAAAUUUGUGCCAGCCAGGGAGUUCGAUUUAGCUCGCCCGGGUUUCCCCAUAGAGAGGAGCUUACCCAGAGUUAAAACGGAUUGUAUUCGUU
Molecule: long non-coding RNA, 3328 nt
Filed under: Salmo salar (Atlantic salmon)
Lineage: Eukaryota; Metazoa; Chordata; Actinopteri; Salmoniformes; Salmonidae
Description: lncRNA (ENSSSAG00000084705.1)
Source: RNAcentral